AAGGAUCAUUUAAUGAGUUUUGAAACAGGAUUUGAUGCUGGCCUACACCAAGGCAUGUGCUCAGUUCUACUCAAUCCAUUUCACACCUGUGCACUUUCAAAGUUGUAGUCCUCCGUCAUGGGAGCCGUAUCUUGUAAUGAGAUGCUGGGAUUGCGCUUUGCCCAUUUAUCACAAACACUAUUAAAGUCUUGUAGAAUGUCAUUAGCCUAUGGGCUUAAUACAAUACAACUUUCAACAACGGAUCUCUUGGCUCUC
This 255-nucleotide unclassified non-coding RNA is filed under the name uncultured fungus. RNAcentral describes it as "partial contains 18S rRNA, ITS1, 5.8S rRNA, ITS2 and 28S rRNA". The record is from RNAcentral. Lineage: Eukaryota; Fungi.